UGGACCCUCAGCUGCGGCUGCUGCUGGAAGUCACCUAUGAAGCCAUCGUGGACGGAGGCUGCCCUUGGCGCUGGAGAGGCCACUGGCCGACGGGCUCAUCAGAGCUGCCGGUGACACCAGGGGCCAAAGGCGUCGCCUGGG
This 141-nucleotide small RNA is filed under the name Pan troglodytes (chimpanzee). Its description in RNAcentral is "processed transcript". The record is from RNAcentral. Lineage: Eukaryota; Metazoa; Chordata; Mammalia; Primates; Hominidae.